This 129-nucleotide small nucleolar RNA is filed under the name Olea europaea subsp. europaea. The record is from RNAcentral. Lineage: Eukaryota; Viridiplantae; Streptophyta; Magnoliopsida; Lamiales; Oleaceae.
AGUCGGCGACGAUGAAUUGAAGGCUGGUUUCUCAAAACAUUCACAGUGGCCGCCUGAGAACUUUCGCCUUCGCCUGGCUUGAGAGUUUGUGCUGCUUUAUUCCUUCCUUGGAUAUGGAUAUCUAAGACA